CUGGCAUAUCAUCACUCUAAGAAAAUCUGAUAUGACAAUGCAAAGAUGAACUCUUCAGCUUAGAGGGACAGCUUCACAACAACUCCCAUCUCUGUGUAGUAUCCAGCAGGAGAAUUUCAAACUCACUGCAGCAUUUUAAAGAAGAAAACAACAUAGUCUCGUGGGGUAGGUAAGCGUACAACUUUGUUGUCUCCUAUUAUAUGAAUGCAGAACGUGCUCAAACUCUAUUAGAGCAAAAUUACUUUUAAUGAUCCCUAACCAAGGAGGGAAAAACAUGCCUAAUUGGUGUUUUAAGAAAUCAACGAAGCGUAAAAUGACUCAACACCAAAGAUCAGGAUGCCAGAGAAAUGUGAAGGUGUAUGCCGCAAAGCAUAUCGCAGAUGGCACAACAAACAAAGCAAAAAGCUAUCCUAAAACAUUGGCACAGUUAUGAAAAGUUUAUAAAAAAUGUAACCAAUAGCCAAAUAUGUGCGGCGAAGGAAACAGGAAGGAGGCCACCGUAGCGCAGCCUAUUACGCUGAACCACUGCUUUCGAAUCCUGGGGAAAACACCAAAAUAAAUUUUCAGCGGUGGUUGUCCCCUCCUAAUGCUGGCUACAUUUGUGAGGUACUGUACCCUUUGGUUAAAACUUCUCCACAAAGAGGUGUCUCACUGCAGCACGCCGUUCGGACUUGGCUAUAAAAGGUAGGCCCCAUUGAGCUUAAACUUGCAUCGGACAGCACUUACUGAUAUGCGAGAGAGAAUGUUCAUGGGCAGAAAGAAAUUUCAAACUAUUUGAGAAAGUUUUUCAAUUAAGAUAACGAAAAAAAUAGAAGAAAAAAUAUUCUCAUUUGUU
This is a long non-coding RNA of Stomoxys calcitrans (stable fly), 835 nucleotides long. RefSeq lists it as uncharacterized. The transcript is spliced from 3 exons. The record is from RefSeq and is a predicted model, not a curated record. Lineage: Eukaryota; Metazoa; Arthropoda; Insecta; Diptera; Muscidae.